UUCCGCUGGCGUCAGGCGGGUGGGCUGCUGCGAUCACUUCCCGGUUGGGGCGCCGAGCUCCGGAGUCGGCCGCCAGCCUUUGGGCCCCACGCUCCGGGUCUGGUGCGCGGUCUGGCCGCGCUCGGGCCCUCGCCAAAUGAGAGCGCAGCGCCUCUCCGCCUUCGGAUCCAGAGAAAGAGCUUGUUGCUGCCUCUAAAAGGUUGGAGCCUUAGUAAGCGGUUCCUGCCUUUCCUGCACAGACCAGACCGCCGGGUGCUGGUCUGCGCUCUGCCGCGCGCCGACUGGGACAGCCCACCCACGAGAUCCUUGUUCCUGAAAUCCCUUUCCUUCCCUCAUCUGCCAAGAAAACUUUCAACUUUUGGGCUCUCCGCGCCUCCCAAGCUUCCUCGAAUCCCUGGGCCCUUGACUGUUCUGCCCUGAUGGCACUUGGUGAGAGAUCCAUUGAGAGCCCUUUCCGUGCCUUCCUGAAUAUUGAUAUGUUUUCCAGCCUCUCCUCCUGCGCUGGCCCAAGGACUCAUUUUCCGUCCCUGCUUCCUCACUAAAAAGAGGGUGCCCAAUAAUUGCUUGUUCCAUACAGAAGGCAGGGAGGCCGUCUCUAGGUUUUCUCCCACUCAGAUCUGCUGUCCUCACAGCCACCUCCCCAAGAGGAAUGAAGGUAUUUCUUUUUUUUUUUUCUUUUUUUUCUCUGAGACGGAGCUUCACUCUGUCGCCCAGGCUGGAGUGCAGUGACGCGAUCUCGGCUCACUGCAACCUCUGCCUCCCGAGUAGCUGGGAUUACAGGCGCCUGCCACCACGCCCGGCUAAUUUUUUGUAUUUUUAGUAGAGACGGGGUUUCACCAUCUUGGCCAGGCUGGUCUCGAACUCCUGACCUCAGGUGAUCCGCCCGCCUCGGCCUCCCAAAGUGCUGGGAUUACAGGCGUGAGCCACCGCGCCCUGCCGGAAUGAAGAUAUUUCUGUUAGUGCGAUUUUUGCGCCAAUCCCUUUGCUCUUUCAAAUAAGCAUUACCGUACCCAUUUUAGCGGUGAGGCAACUGAAGCCCAGAGAGGUUAAAUAACUUGCCCAAAGCCUCACAGCAAAGUUGAGGAAGUAAAACUGGGCCUGGAAUCCACUCGUCUGAUCCCCUGGCACAUGACGCAAGGCUUGACCUUAGAGGGACUCGUUUCCAGACAGAGCUCUGGCAAAGGAGUGUCUUGGGCAGCUUAGGAGUAGAAGAGGAAAGGUGAAUGGAAACCAGGCCUUGGGUUAUGAGCUGCGCAGGAUUUUCCAGCAUCUCAGAUGCAGGCGUUUAGAGAAAGAGAUAUAAUGGAGCAGGCCCUACUCAGAGCCACGAAAAGGAAUGAGGACAGUUGGCUCUAACUCAAAACAAAAAUAGGGUAAACCCAAUCAGUCAAGCGCAGCAACCUGCUCCGUGGCGAUCUGUGACUCAUCAGAAGCUGAGGCUCUCACCAGGACUUUCUAAUGAGCUUCGCUGUUGGCUACGACCGCGGUCACUUCACUUCAGCCCUACUCCUGGCCUGGGGAAAUGGGCAGGCCCCCUAGUAGCUCGGGGUGGGGAGACGGGUGGAGAGGAAGGAGGGGCGAAAAGGGAAGGCGCGAAAUCUACAAAUGUUUAAGCCAGCUGGAACUCCGAUGCCUCUUUGCCUUUUAGGGAAAUUGACUCGACUCGGAACUCGAGGACCUUUCACAAGAGACCACUGGGUUAGGGGGCAGAGCUGGUAAUAGAAUCCAGCGCUCCGAACCCUGAAUCAUGUCCUCUUUUUGCUGCUGAGGCUCAGGCCACAGCACCCCAAAUUAUGACUGUAGAAUACCAAAAUAUGCUAUCCCAAAAUACACUUGUUUGGCACAUUUCAAGCUGGUUAUUCUGAGAAACUGCAGACACGGGAGUAGCUCUGAAAAGCUGUCCUUUUGUAAAGCAAAUUUACAUCUAUAAAGGAAGUCCACAUAGUAAAAGUAUCUGUGUCAGGAAGGCAGCUGCUCAGAGAACUUUUAUUACAUGAGAGACUUUACAUAACAAGGCAACAUUAUUUACCAUACAUUUCCUCCACUAACCCUCCUAUAUCCUACCUGUGGUGCCUCCCCACUGUCCCCACAGAAGCCCCAAGCCCUUAUUUAUUUCUAGCUCAGAAUGCUAUAAGCUUCAAUCAUCUGGCCCUUCAUGUUUUGUGAGAUUCCUGUGCUGCUGCGUAUGCAGUGAAACUUCAGAGGGUAAAGGGGAAGUUUGCCCUUCACCCCUACAUGGUCAAGCUCAAGAUACCAAAAGACAUCAGCUGAAAAUUCAAUCAACUUGCCUGAAUCAUCCACCCCAAGCUUAGGAAGCAUGCUUGAACCCACCUGGCCAAGGCUGGUUUUGCCGGCCAAAGUCCAAGGCCAAGGCUCCAACCAAAGCCCAGACUUCAGUUGCAGCUCCAGUUCCAGUUCCAGUUCCAGCUCCAGUUCCAGUUCCAGUUCCAGCUCCAGAUCAAAUUUCCAAGGGUGCCCAUGCACACCCACAAAGGAUCUGGAGGAGAGGCCUCUGUCUACCAAUGGGAGGACAGAAGGACUGGUGUGAGCCCUGGGCUGCCAUCUGUUUCUGCAUGGAGCUGGUACCAUUCUUUUCUAUUUAUACAAACAAACAUGAGGCAGGAUCUGUCCAUUAAAAAAAAGAGGCCGGGCACAGUGGCUCAUGCCUAUAAUCCCAGCAUUUUAGGAGGCCGAGGUGGGUAAAUCACCUGAGGUUGGGAGUUCGAGACCAGCCUGGCCAAUAUGGUGAAACCUCUUCUCUACUAAAAAUACAAAAAUUAGCCGAGCGUCGCGGCACAUCUUUAAUCCCAGCUCCUCAGGAGGCUGAGGCACAAGAAUCACUUGAACCCAGGAGGUGGAGGUUGCAGUAAGCCGAGAAAACACCACUACACUCCAGCCUAGGCGACAGAAUGAGGCUCCAUCUUGAAAAGAAAAAGAAAAUUAAAAAGAAACAGUCUAUACAGGCUCAUUCCCUUUCCCCACUCAGAGUUUUUUCAAAGGAAUGUGGCCAGAUCUGGAGGUUUACCUGCCUUCUGGCUCUGAGGACUUUGCAGUUACUAUUUAAGGUCUGGUUAAUAGCUUCCUUUGCAUCGUGGUUGGUUAACAAGAGUAG
Molecule: long non-coding RNA, 3112 nt
Filed under: Homo sapiens (human)
Lineage: Eukaryota; Metazoa; Chordata; Mammalia; Primates; Hominidae
Description: HSALNT0090226
Source: RNAcentral